GAAAAUUGAAAACUGCAAAUUUAUGUCUAAUCAAGCAGAAAUGUUGGACUAUGCUAACCAAAAGACAAGACGCCGCCGUUAACUUUGGUGAAUUAUAGAUGACUUUUAAGCAGAAUUAAUACAAUCUCAAACUCAAAAAUAUCUCCCUAAGUGGUUAGGCGAGCGCUUCUUUGAAUACUCGGCGAAAAAGGUAUGAAGGGGAAUUUUGCUGUUGGUAGGCGCUCUUGUCAGAGAAGACUAGCAGCAACAACAAAACAAUAUGGGUUUGAGGACCUAAGCCUGACUAUAUAGAAUGUCGUGGAAA
Non-coding RNA from Schizosaccharomyces pombe (fission yeast), 304 nucleotides. NCBI's taxonomy places the organism in Eukaryota, Fungi, Ascomycota, Schizosaccharomycetes, Schizosaccharomycetales, Schizosaccharomycetaceae. The record is from the annotation of a GenBank genome assembly.